RNAcentral lists this ribosomal RNA (253 nucleotides) under uncultured bacterium. RNAcentral describes it as "partial 16S ribosomal RNA". It matches the Rfam family "Bacterial small subunit ribosomal RNA", at positions 524 to 776 of the family's 1533-position model. The record is from RNAcentral.
UACGUAGGGGGCAAGCGUUGUCCGGAUUCACUGGGUUUAAAGGGUGCGUAGGUGGGCAGUUAAGUCAGUGGUGAAAUCUCCGGGCUCAACCCGGAAACUGCCAUUGAUACUAUCUGUCUUGAAUAUCGUGGAGGUAAGCGGAAUAUGUCAUGUAGCGGUGAAAUGCUUAGAUAUGACAUAGAACACCAAUUGCGAAGGCAGCUUACUACCCGAAUAUUGACACUGAGGCACGAAAGCGUGGGGAUCAAACAGG